This is a non-coding RNA of Triticum urartu, 1331 nucleotides long. Lineage: Eukaryota; Viridiplantae; Streptophyta; Magnoliopsida; Poales; Poaceae. The record is from RefSeq and is a predicted model, not a curated record.
UCUCUAUUGGAAUAUUUCUUUUCACAUAUUGCUAGCUCCUUAGGUGUAAUGUUGUUUAAAAUAUUUGUCCUGGAGCUCCUUUGCUCCUGUUCUUGGUGUAGAUAAACCAAAACUGCUCCUUUUAGGCCAUCCAAGAGUCUGGAACGACCAACAUUGUAAUUAGCAUAUGUGGACAGUUACACUACAAUGCCCCCAAUUGUUUUUCAAUGAUAACUCUUGCUCCAAAUUUUGCUUUCCGGGAGGUGGUUGAGGUAGAGAUUGUUGUGUUGUGGCAGUGCACACUACGGUGUCGGGUUGCAUAGGGGCAUGCCCUUUCUCAGUAUUCAAAUAUCAUGUACUAAUUGUGUUUUCACUUUGUAUUGCUUACUCACAGAUGUCAUCGGAAGCGUCAUGGUUAUUUCUUAAGCUCACCAAAUAUUUCUCUUCAUAUUUUAACAUUUCACUUUCUGUCAAUAAGCAUUUAUCUCUAUGCUAACUUGGUGUAAAGUAGCCUUGAUGAUGUGUGGAGGCGGUCUGCUCAGUGACUGUUAGUAAGGUUGAUCAUCGGCAAGCGAAAGUGCUUUGUGGAUGCUUGCACGACCAAGCGGCUUGGGGGGAGGAGUGCGUGUUUUCGAGCCCUUCAAGCUCCCAGAGUGCAAACACCAUGAGAUAGGGAUGUGAAACUGAAGGAAAGAAGGCCCUGACCACUCUCAUCAUUUACUCAAGUAAUAACACCAUCGGCGACAGGAACGACAAGCUGACGCAGAUCAUUUCUUGGUGGCUGCUAAUGAAUCAUGUAAGGAUGGCGCAGAACUCACCAGAGGAAAAAGACCGAACUACGGAGUUUCCCCAUUGUUAGAGCUCUUGGUGCCCGGACAAGCCGUCUAUCUCGAUUCUCCCUUCGCAGCUCAGCUCCACCGACCAGAUGGCGAUGGCUGACGAAGAGCUUGAUGUCCAUGGCUCGUCAGGUUCCGCUGGCUCCACUAACAGCCGUCUAUGGGCGCUUGCACAGGAUACCAAGCGAGUGUUUAGGAUCCCACACCGGGAAUUUCUUGACAUGCUCCUAGCACACCUUAGGCUAAUCAUUGGCUCAGUAUGAUCGUGUUGUAUAUGACGAUGGCAAGAUCUGUGUGACCAUCUUUUUCAACACCUCUACAUUGGAUCUUGGAGGACCAAUCAUUAUGAACGCGUCGUGUCGUCAUUCCUCCUGGUCUACAUUAUGCCCAAGACAUGCAAAGUUGUGGAUCGUCUGCAAGCUACCAUGUGCUUUUGUACGUCCUAUGCUUGUGAUAUUUGCUACUAAACCUAUUGUGCUACGUGCUUUCUAUGUUCGUACAUUGUUAGGUGGCUCC